RNAcentral lists this transfer RNA (73 nucleotides) under Acinetobacter phage Acj9. It matches the Rfam family "tRNA". From Rfam's summary of the family: Transfer RNA (tRNA) molecules are approximately 80 nucleotides in length. Their secondary structure includes four short double-helical elements and three loops (D, anti-codon, and T loops). Further hydrogen bonds mediate the characteristic L-shaped molecular structure. tRNAs have two regions of fundamental functional importance: the anti-codon, which is responsible for specific mRNA codon recognition, and the 3' end, to which the tRNAs corresponding amino acid is attached (by aminoacyl-tRNA synthetases). tRNAs cope with the degeneracy of the genetic code in two manners: having more than one tRNA (with a specific anti-codon) for a particular amino acid; and 'wobble' base-pairing, i.e. permitting non-standard base-pairing at the 3rd anti-codon position. Lineage: Duplodnaviria; Heunggongvirae; Uroviricota; Caudoviricetes; Pantevenvirales; Straboviridae. The record is from Rfam by way of RNAcentral.
AGUGCGAUGGCAGAAUGGUCAUGCGGUGGAUUGCAAAUCCACGUCAAUAUGGGUUCGAGUCCCAUUCGCACUU